RNAcentral lists this transfer RNA (60 nucleotides) under pig gut metagenome. It matches the Rfam family "tRNA", at positions 8 to 63 of the family's 71-position model. Rfam says of the family: Transfer RNA (tRNA) molecules are approximately 80 nucleotides in length. Their secondary structure includes four short double-helical elements and three loops (D, anti-codon, and T loops). The record is from RNAcentral.
CUUAGCUCAGUUGGUAGAGCAUUUGAUUUGUAAUCAAACGGUCACUGGUUCGAACCCGGU